RNAcentral lists this ribosomal RNA (465 nucleotides) under uncultured bacterium. Its description in RNAcentral is "partial 16S ribosomal RNA". It matches the Rfam family "Bacterial small subunit ribosomal RNA", at positions 28 to 507 of the family's 1533-position model. The record is from RNAcentral.
GACGAACGCUGGCGGCGUGCUUAACACAUGCAAGUCGAACGGAAAGGCCCCUUUGGGGGUACUCGAGUGGCGAACGGGUGAGUAACACGUGAGUAACCUGCCCUUGACUUCGGGAUAACUUCAGGAAACUGGGGCUAAUACCGGAUAGGAAUCCUUGCUGCAUGGUGGGGGUUGGAAAGCUUCGGCGGUUUGGGAUGGACUCGCGGCUUAUCAGCCUGUUGGUGGGGUAGUGGCUUACCAAGGCUUUGACGGGUAGCCGGCCUGAGAGGGCGACCGGCCACAUUGGGACUGAGAUACGGCCCAGACUCCAACGGGAGGCAGCAGUGGGGAAUAUUGCACAAUGGGCGGAAGCCUGAUGCAGCAACGCCGCGUGCGGGAUGACGGCCUUCGGGUUGUAAACCGCGUUCAGCAGGGGCGAAGCUUGUGGUGACGGUACCUGCAGAAGAAGCACCGGCUAACUACGUG